UGGGUCUGUGGACCAGGAGAGAGGUUAGGGUCGAUGCGCUGCAGCGCUUGUAGCUGCCAUGUGGAUGGGUUUGUUACAGUGGGUGUAUGGCUUUUGAAGAAUUAUGUUACAACCAAUGGAUUAGAAUAAGUAUCAUAAAGAUUAAAAACACUAUAGUGUUAGUAAGAAUUAAGUGUAUCACUGAAGAACUUUGUCCAUGCCCCCUUACUAAAACCUAGAAGCUCUUAUGUAAUUUAUGUCAAUAAUGAUUUCUCGAGGAAUACAUUACUUCUUUGAGAUCAUAUGUAUCUGUUUGAUCAAUAUGAUACAACAAUUUGU
This 318-nucleotide long non-coding RNA is filed under the name Capsella rubella. RNAcentral's name for it is "long non-coding RNA (CRUB_LNC000274)". Lineage: Eukaryota; Viridiplantae; Streptophyta; Magnoliopsida; Brassicales; Brassicaceae. The record is from RNAcentral.